CGCCAGCCUACACAAGGCCAUGUCAACGCCUCGACGCAGGGUUCAUCAUCCGUCUUCGUCGGGUAAGCAAAGCGAUCCACCUUUCCUCUUUCUCAUCAGAUCCAUUUUAUUGUGAUAUUGCAUUUAAGUCAAUCAAUUUUUAUGAUUCUUUCGGUGUUAAAGAAAAUGGAUUUUUACCUGAAUAAAUUUCGUGUAUAGAUAUGUAGAGGAUGAACUCAACAAGCGGAUCUUUCAAGGUUAAUUAGCCAAGCGGAUCUUUCAAGGUUAAUUAGCUUUGCACAUUUUAUUAAAUAGAUGCAGUGGCAUAGCACCUUCAAUAUCAUGCUUGCACUCACAUGUUUUCCAACAGCACCAUGAAUGCUGCCCAGAAUUGCCAUGCCUUCCGCUUUCGCUAUAAGUUCCUAUGCUGCUCCCUGCCCCCUCCUCCUGUCACGUGUGUUGUUUCCCUUGUCAUCAGUGAGCUCUAGAAAACAACUGCAAGGUACAGAAUAGUUGCCACUUAGUUAGCAUUUUAGUUAAUAGUGUAGACAUGUUAGUAACACUAUAAUGUUGGACAAUAAAUGAAUUCGACAACAUCCGCACGAACUUAUCUUGCUUCCAAGAAUAGUAAAAUCAUCUUUAAUAAUUUCCCUGAUUUUGCUUAUAUUCAUGUUUCUUAACAUGUUUAGAAUGUUGUUUUCUCCAAAAUGCAGCACUUACCUUCCAUUUGGAGCACAUGAUGCAUUUUUUCAUCAUUUGCUAACUGAAAAAACCAUUUUUCUGAUAAAAUGCAAUCCAUCAGUUAAGACUUAAUUAAUUGCCUUCUAGACACACCUUCAAAUAUAUACAAGUUCUCUGAUAAGGUAGUCGUGCGAAGACUGUAUUUUUGGUUUACAUUGUUAAUGUUUUCAGUGACCACAAAUUUGACUUUCUUUUUUGCUUCUUUUCAGCUUUCAGGUUCUAAAUGAGAAGGUAAGGAUGUAGUUGAGCUGCAUGAGAAAACCCAGUUCCAUUAUCUCAGAAGCCAGAAGUUUCCCAUUUAAUAUCUUUGGUUCUAAAAUUUGUUUAAGAAAAUGGCCAUUUUGCUAUUAGCACCAUGAUUAUGUGUCAAUUGUAGAUUCUUAAUUGCUUAGAAUUAUUUUAUAUGUUUGAUUCCUUCGGUUCAUAUUUAUUCAACAACAAAAUAGUUUCAAGAUUGGUCCGUUUGAGGAUCAAACUUCGAACAUGUGAAUUGAUGUGGCAUCAAGCUAAGUCCGUUGAUACAUUGCUAUCCUUUUUUGCUUUGCACAAUUAAUCUUGUCACUAGAGAUGUAUGUAAAUCCUCUAGCUUUGCUUAUUUUAUCUUUUUAUUUCAGCUUAUAGAAUAUCGUGCCAUGCGUUCACAAAUUACAUGGUCAUGUGGGUGG
RNAcentral lists this long non-coding RNA (1385 nucleotides) under Triticum aestivum (bread wheat). RNAcentral describes it as "long non-coding RNA (TAES_LNC028171)". Lineage: Eukaryota; Viridiplantae; Streptophyta; Magnoliopsida; Poales; Poaceae. The record is from RNAcentral.